CUGGCGGCGUGCUUAACACAUGCAAGUCGGAUGCGAACGGCGCUUUCGGGCGUUGAGUAGCAUGGCAGACGGGUGAGGAGCGCGUAUCUGACUGGACUCAGGCUGGGGGAUAGUCCCUCGAAAGGGGGUUGAAUACCGCAUGUGCUCGGUGCUGUGAGGGCAUCGAGGAAAGUUGGCCUCUGCGGGCACGCUGAUGGCCUGAGACAGGGAUGCGUCCUAUUAGCUAGCUGGUGGGGUAAGGGCCUACCAGGGCGACGAUGGGUAGCUGGUCUGAGAGGAUGAUCAGCCACACUGGGACUGCGACACGGCCCAGACUCCUACGGGAGGCAGCAGUGGGGAAUUUUGCGCAAUGGGCGCAAGCCUGACGCAGCAACGCCGCGUGCAUGACGACGCCUUUCGAGGUGUAAAGUGCUGUCGACCGGGACGAAGGGGCGAGGGUGAACAGCUUUCGCGCAUGACGGUACCGGUGGAGGAAGCCCCGGCUAACUCCGUGCCAGCAGCCGCGGUAAGACGGAGGGGGCGAGCGUUGUUCGGAAUUACUGGGCGUAAAGCGCGCGUAGGCGGUGCAGCAAGUGGUGCGUGAAAGCCCUCGGCUUAACCGGGGACGGGCGUGCCAAACUGUUGGACUGGAGUGCCGGAGGGGGAGGCGGAAUUCCUGGUGGAGCGGUGAAAUGCGUAGAGAUCAGGAAGAACGUCGGUGGCGAAGGCGGCCUCCUGGACGGACACUGACGCUGAGGUGCGACAGCGUGGGGAGCGAACGGGAUUAGAUACCCCGGUAGUCCACGCCGUAAACGAUGGGUACUAGGUGUGGGGCUUGUGAUGAGGCCCGUGCCGGAGCUAACGCACGUAAGUACCCCGCCUGGGGAGUACGGUCGCAAGGCUUGAAACUCAAAGGAAUUGACGGGGGCCCGCACAAGCGGUGGAGCAAGUGGUUUAAUUCGACGCAACGCGCAGAACCUUACCCAGGUUUGACAUGCACCGGCACAGCGAGGAGAAUCGCUGGCCCGUUUCGGGACGGUGCACAGGUGCUGCAUGGCUGUCGUCAGCUCGUUUCGUGAGAUGUUGGGUUAAGUCCCGCUAACUGAGCGCAACCCCUGCCCGUAGUUGCCAACAGGUGAUGCUGGGGACUGUACGGGACGAGUCAGGUGUGAAACCGGAGCAAGGUGAGGAUGACGACAAGUCCUGAUGGCCAUGACGCUUAGGCCGUAGACACUUAAUAGAGUUACUACUGGGCCACAAUUGGGCGACCACUCCGAGUAGGCGCGAAUACCUGAAACCGUGUCUCAGUUCGGAUUGGAGUCUGCAACUCGACUCCAUGAAGGUGGAAUCGCUAGUAAUCGCGGAUCAGCAUGCCGCGGUGAAUACGUUCCCGGGCAUUGUACACACCGCCCGUCACACCACGAAAGUUGAUGAUACCCGAAGUCGCCGGGCCAACCGCAAG
RNAcentral lists this ribosomal RNA (1441 nucleotides) under uncultured organism. RNAcentral's name for it is "bacterial SSU rRNA". It matches the Rfam family "Bacterial small subunit ribosomal RNA". The record is from RNAcentral.